UUUCUUUUCUUUUAUUUUCUUUUUUCUUUUAUGUGUUUUAAUGAUUAAAUGGAGCAAAAAUAAUAAGUUGAGAAGGAAUAGAUUAUCUGUUUUUCACUAUUGGUAGAAAGAGGGCACCAAGGAUGAUAGAGCUUCAAUCUGUUUAGUUGUUUUUUUUUUCCUUUUUAAGUUUUUCGAAAAUGAUUGUGCAGUGACAAUUUUCUGAUUUUAGCGUUUGUUCAAGCUAUGAGUAGAUUAACUAAGGGAAAGGGAAUAGGAAAAACAUGCAAGAAUUGC
Molecule: unclassified non-coding RNA, 276 nt
Filed under: Hevea brasiliensis (rubber tree)
Lineage: Eukaryota; Viridiplantae; Streptophyta; Magnoliopsida; Malpighiales; Euphorbiaceae
Source: RNAcentral